RNAcentral lists this ribosomal RNA (497 nucleotides) under uncultured Flavobacteriia bacterium. RNAcentral's name for it is "bacterial SSU rRNA". It matches the Rfam family "Bacterial small subunit ribosomal RNA", at positions 8 to 497 of the family's 1533-position model. Lineage: Bacteria; Pseudomonadati; Bacteroidota; Flavobacteriia. The record is from RNAcentral.
AGAGUUUGAUCCUGGCUCAGGAUGAACGCUAGCGGGAGGCCUAACACAUGCAAGUCGAGGGGUAACGGAAGUAGCUUGCUACUAGACGACGACCGGCGCACGGGUGAGUAACGCGUAUGUAAUCUGCCUUGUACAGAGGGAUAGCCCAGAGAAAUUUGGAUUAAUACCUCAUAGUAUUACUGAAUCGCAUGAUUCGGUAAUUAAAGCUCCGGCGGUACAAGAUGAACAUGCGUGACAUUAGCUAGUUGGUAAGGUAACGGCUUACCAAGGCAACGAUGUCUAGGGGUUCUGAGAGGAUGAUCCCCCACACUGGUACUGAGACACGGACCAGACUCCUACGGGAGGCAGCAGUGAGGAAUAUUGGUCAAUGGACGCAAGUCUGAACCAGCCAUCCCGCGUGAAGGAUGACUGCCCUAUGGGUUGUAAACUUCUUUUAUAUGCAAAUAAACCUACUUUCGUGAAAGUAAGCUGAAGGUAGCAUAUGAAUAAACACCGGC